RNAcentral lists this ribosomal RNA (407 nucleotides) under uncultured Bacteroidales bacterium. RNAcentral describes it as "bacterial SSU rRNA". It matches the Rfam family "Bacterial small subunit ribosomal RNA", at positions 321 to 725 of the family's 1533-position model. Lineage: Bacteria; Pseudomonadati; Bacteroidota; Bacteroidia; Bacteroidales. The record is from RNAcentral.
GAGACACGGUCCAAACUCCUACGGGAGGCAGCAGUGAGGAAUAUUGGUCAAUGGGCGAUGGCCUGAACCAGCCAAGUAGCGUGAAGGAUGACUGCCCUAUGGGUUGUAAACUUCUUUUAUAAAGGAAUAAAGUCGGGUAUGCAUACCCGUUUGCAUGUACUUUAUGAAUAAGGAUCGGCUAACUCCGUGCCAGCAGCCGCGGUAAUACGGAGGAUCCGAGCGUUAUCCGGAUUUAUUGGGUUUAAAGGGAGCGUAGAUGGAUGUUUAAGUCAGUUGUGAAAGUUUGCGGCUCAACCGUAAAAUUGCAGUUGAUACUGGAUGUCUUGAGUGCAGUUGAGGCAGGCGGAAUUCGUGGUGUAGCGGUGAAAUGCUUAGAUAUCACGAAGAACUCCGAUUGCGAAGGCAGC